AUUUUCAAUCGGUACAUUGUAAGGCUUAAUUGUCCAUUUUUCGGUAUAAGGUUUACAACUUGAAUUAACUAAUUAAUUGGAUAUAAGAUUAAUUGAAUUAUUAAAAGUUGGGAGUUUUAUGAAAUUAAAUUGCAAUUUGUGAGUAAAUCCCAAAUUUAAUGACUUAAUGAAUUAAUCGAGUGUCAAGUGGAUUAAAUUGAAUAUUAUAAAAUGUAGUUCAUGAAUAUUAGUUAUAAUAUCGACUUUGAAAUAUGAAGUUUUGCUAAUAAUUAUAUACGUUAAUUUUUGGAAUUUAAUAAGUAUAAAUUGGAGAAAUUAUAAUGUAAGGUAUAGAUAAAUAAAAUUCAUGAUAUUAUGGAAAUUAAAAACUUAUUGGUGAUAGAAUUAUCAAGUGCCUAUGUAUGGUGAAUGACUAAUAAGUGAUGUUUAUGGUGGACGGGAUCGGUUAAUGUGAGUUGCCCGAUGGAUGGGCCGUGUGUUGACAUGUGAGAAAUAUAAAAUUGAGUAGUAUAGUUUAUAAGGGAAAUGCCGUCGAAAUUUCGGUAAAACACUUAAGAAAACUCUUAAAAGAUAGUACGAUUAAAAUUAUUAUCGUUAUUAAUAUUAUGUUGUCACCCGUAUUAUUAUUAUUAUUAGUAUUAUUAUGACUAUCAGUAUUUAUAAGAACAUUACUUAACGAAUGACCAAACGUUUUAUAUAAAACUAAUAACUUUGAAAUAAAUAUAUAAAUGAGGAAAACCCAACAUAUAUGCACAUAUAAUAAAUGAAUUAAAUGGCUGGUAACCAAAACUAAUAAAAGAAUGUGAAAUAUAAGUUUUCGAAUUAAAAUUUUUAUUUAGAAUUUUCUUGUUUAUUUUAAAGGUUUAUAAAAUACCAAAAUGCGAGGACAAAAGCUGGAAGCAUGUGGCUAAAAAGGCAGUCCUUUUAAAGGACAAUAAAGAACUGUGAGUAGUGUUAGAUAACUAGUAUCAUCCGCCUGCAUUCAUGCAUUCACGGCUAAAUGCUAUCAUGCAUUAAUUUGUUGAAUUGCCAUAUUGUGCUGCACUAAUUGUUGAUAUUAAAUAAAUUAUGUGAUUACUUGUGCUGUGUAUAUACUGUGCCUUGUUUGUGUGGAAUUGGGAUGAAGUGGGUCACCAUGGGUUUGUGAGA
Molecule: long non-coding RNA, 1149 nt
Filed under: Jatropha curcas
Lineage: Eukaryota; Viridiplantae; Streptophyta; Magnoliopsida; Malpighiales; Euphorbiaceae
Description: long non-coding RNA (JCUR_LNC002078)
Source: RNAcentral